Molecule: RNA transcript, 2361 nt
Organism: Cucurbita moschata (crookneck pumpkin)
Lineage: Eukaryota; Viridiplantae; Streptophyta; Magnoliopsida; Cucurbitales; Cucurbitaceae
Gene name: ferrochelatase-2, chloroplastic
Exons: 13
Source: RefSeq, a predicted model, not a curated record
CUCUCGCUCUAUCCAGAACUUGUCGCUGUUUCAUGAUGGUUUUAUCUUUAAUGUGUGGGACACACCUCUGAAAAUAGCAUAUAUGAUCCGUUUGUUUCCAGGGAAAAUUAGCCCAGAAAAUUUCUUCUCAAACAAUUUUUGCAAAAAAAUGAUGGGUGGUAAUUUUUUCGGAAUCCAAAUUGGAUAAAGGCCUGAAUUAGAAGUGGCCUUGGCUUGUCCACUUCCACGCUCUCUCUCUCUUUUUGCAUCUGUAGCUCUUCCGUUUUCCACGCUGAAUAUACUAAAUUUUUGAUGAUACUGUUCCGAUUUGGCGGCCAUUGAUGCGAAGCUUCAUCGCCUUCUUCAUUUGACGCCCAUUUCGAUUUCUCAAGCUCUUGCGAUCUUGGUUUUUGAAGGGAUUUGUUGUUGGUAAGCUAUGGAUUCUGCAAUUCAGGCUUCGCCUUCUCCGGCUUCGUCUUCUGCAUUUCGUAGUCCAUGUCUCACUUCUGCUUCUCAGAACUGCAAAUUUCCCUUGCCAACUUCCAGAGUAUCAGCUUCCUCUAAAAGAAUGCAUCGUGGGUUCAGGCUCCAUAUGGAUGCUUCUCCCAAUUACAACAUCUCCAAAAAUCAUGUAGUUUCCAAAUACUCUUCAGAAUGGCCUGAAUCACAAUCCAUAUUCUCUAAGCAAUCACUCAACAAGUAUUUUUCGCCUCUGAGAGCAUUGGUUGCUUCAAACACUCAAGAUAUUCCUGCUACACCUUUAACUGGAGAUGACAAGGUUGGAGUGCUGUUGCUUAAUCUUGGAGGUCCAGAGACUCUUGAUGAUGUGCAGCCUUUCUUGUUUAACCUCUUUGCCGACCCGGAUAUAAUACGAUUGCCACGGUUGUUCCGGUUCCUCCAAAGACCGUUGGCACACUUUAUUUCAGUUCUAAGAUCGCCCAAGAGUAGAGAAGGCUAUGCCUCAAUUGGUGGCGGUUCUCCUCUGCGAAAGAUUACCGAUGCUCAGGCUGAAGAAUUAAAGAAGGCCUUAUGGCAAAAAGAUGUUCCAGCUGAAGUGUAUGUUGGUAUGCGAUACUGGCAUCCGUUCACUGAAGAAGCAAUCGAACAGAUAAAAAAAGACAGGAUAACAAAGCUUGUUGUUCUUCCUCUUUAUCCCCAAUUUUCAAUAUCCACCAGUGGUUCAAGCCUCCGGCUCUUGGAGGGCAUCUUCCGGGAGGACGAAUACCUAGUUAACAUGCAACAUACGGUAAUACCUUCCUGGUACCAGCGUGAAGGAUAUAUAAAGGCCAUGGCAGAUUUGAUUGAAAAGGAAUUAAAAAGUUUCGACUUUCCCGAGCAGGUAAUGGUAUUUUUUAGUGCACAUGGAGUCCCCCUUGCUUACGUGGAAGAGGCUGGUGACCCGUAUAAAGCAGAGAUGGAGGAAUGUGUGGAUCUGAUUAUGGAGGAAUUAGAAAAGAGAAGGAUAACAAAUAACUACACCCUUGCUUAUCAGAGUAGAGUUGGACCCGUGGAGUGGUUAAAACCUUAUACGGAUGACACAAUAAUAGAGCUUGGGCAAAAAGGAGUUAAAAGCUUGCUGGCUGUACCCAUUAGCUUUGUAAGCGAGCAUAUCGAGACGUUGGAAGAAAUUGAUGUGGAAUAUAAAGAACUUGCUUUAAAAUCUGGAGUAGAAAAAUGGGGACGUGUUCCAGCGUUAGGAUGUGAGCCUACUUUCAUAACAGAUUUGGCUGAUGCUGUAAUUGAGAGUCUUCCAUAUGUCGGGGCCAUGGCUGUCUCGAAUCUUGAAGCUCGCCAGCCCUUGGUUCCACUUGGUAGUGUGGAAGAGUUACUAGCAGCAUAUGAUUCGCAACGUAGGCAGCUACCGCCACCUGUAACCGUAUGGGAAUGGGGUUGGACGAAAAGUGCGGAAACAUGGAAUGGAAGAGCAGCAAUGCUGGCUGUACUUGUCUUGCUGGUCCUAGAAGUCACAACUGGAGAGGGGUUUCUUCACCAAUGGGGAGUUUUCCCCUUAUUUCAUCAAUGAUCUCUCUCUCCCUCCACAAUUGCACUUGGCCAACGUGGUAGCAAUUUCUCUACUAAAACGCCGACAGCUGGUCGUCUGAAAAUUCGAUCUCUCAAUGAGGGUAUCAAUUCAGGUUCACUCGACCAAAACACAAGCCAAGGCAAAGCUUAUGAAAGGAAUAAAAGGGUAUCAAUUCAGGUUCUCUCUCUCUCUAUCUCUCUCUAUCUCUCUCUUCUUUCUGUAUAUCAAAUAAUUGGUUUUGCUGAAGUGAGUGUAUGAUGAUGCUUUUGAGGUGUAAAAACUAUAAAGUGGUAUAACUAAAGGUAGUAACUUGUAGUUGAAUAUACUGUUUUUCUCUAUCUACCUGUAUUUGUAGAGCA